This 497-nucleotide ribosomal RNA is filed under the name uncultured bacterium. Its description in RNAcentral is "partial 16S ribosomal RNA". It matches the Rfam family "Bacterial small subunit ribosomal RNA", at positions 28 to 507 of the family's 1533-position model. The record is from RNAcentral.
GAUGAACGCUGGCGGCGUGCCUAAUACAUGCAAGUCGAGCGAACAGAUGAGGAGCUUGCUCCUCUGACGUUAGCGGCGGACGGGUGAGUAACACGUGGAUAACCUACCUAUAAGACUGGGAUAACUUCGGGAAACCGGAGCUAAUACCGGAUAAUAUAUUGAACCUCAUGGUUCAAUAGUGAAAGACGGUUUUGCUGUCACUUAUAGAUGGAUCCGCGCCGCAUUAGCUAGUUGGUAAGGUAACGGCUUACCAAGGCAACGAUGCGUAACCGACCUGAGGGCGUGAUCGGCCACACUGGCACUGAGACACGGUCCCGACACCUACGGGGGGCAGCAGUAGGGAAUCUUCCGCAAUGGGCGAGAGCCUGACGGAGCAACGCCGCGUGAGUGAUGAAGGUCUUCAGAUCGUAAAACUCUGUUAUUAGGGAAGAACAAAUGUGUAAGUAACUAUGCACGUCUUGACGGUACCUAAUCAGAAAGCCACGGCUAACUACGUG